Molecule: long non-coding RNA, 897 nt
Filed under: Mytilus galloprovincialis (Mediterranean mussel)
Lineage: Eukaryota; Metazoa; Mollusca; Bivalvia; Mytilida; Mytilidae
Source: RNAcentral
AAAAUUUAACUAAAAUGCUAGAAUUAUGAGAUUUCAGUAAUUUAGCAUGACUUAAUGGUGCUGGUACCGGAUAUAUGUGCAUUGUGUUGUCAAAAACAGCCCAUAUUUAUGUAGCAGAAGCAUUCUACUGUCCAAUAAAUAACUAAAGGUUUACAUUUUAACAAUUUUGUAAAACUGCUAUAUUUUGGGGCCAAAAAGGGGUCUUACUGAACCUACUCCUUUCAAAUGUACAUUAAAUUUACAAUUUCAUUUGGACUAGAUGGAGCAAGAAUCUGAAUUUCAAGUGUAUAUGGCUGUAGAAGACAGGUCUGAAAUGAUGAUGGAAUACUUCAAAUAUAUGCAAUAUAAAUAGCACAAAUGGCUGGUUUUUACACUUGUUGUUUUAUAUUUUUAAUAGCUUGCUGUAUCAAUAUUUUUGUUAAACAUUUCUAAAGUUUUAUAUAAUUUGAUAAAAGAUUUUAAAUAUAAAGUUGAUUGUGCACAUGAUUAAAAUCAGAUAAAUGCAAUUAUGUUAGUGCAAUGUUUGUAAAAAGACUGACUGCUUUUCUGAAAUUUGAUAUAUCUGCAUAGUUUUUUUUUGUUAGUUUAUUUGUUAAAGUAUCUUGUUUUAUUUUUACAUUCCUGAUUUCUUUCGGCUAUCAAUUGAUAUUCCAUUACAGCAUAAGUAUAUUUUUGUUUUCCAGAGGCUUACAAUGUCUCAUACAUCUUACAGUCAUAAGUCUUAAAUGGUUUUGAUAGUUUACCUUGCAUAUGAUAAUGUAUAUAAAAUUGUGACAAUAUUUAUAAACAAUUUACUUACUUAAUAAAUGUGUACUGUCUAUAAUUUUUAGGCUUUUUGGAGGGGAUAUUAGCAAUAUAUAUGUCCUGCUGUAUAAAUAAACAAUUAUUCCAACUGAG